RNAcentral lists this ribosomal RNA (510 nucleotides) under uncultured bacterium. RNAcentral's name for it is "bacterial SSU rRNA". It matches the Rfam family "Bacterial small subunit ribosomal RNA", at positions 29 to 518 of the family's 1533-position model. The record is from RNAcentral.
AACGAACGCUGGCGGCGUGCUUAACACAUGCAAGUCGAACGCGAAAGGGACUUCGGUCCUGAGUAAAGUGGCGCACGGGUGAGUAACGCGUAGAUAACCUGUCUUCAUGUCUGGAAUAAUACGCCGAAAGGGGUACUAAUACCGGAUAUUCUUGCUUUUUCAUAAGUUAUGCAAGCAAAGGUGGCCUCUGCAUAUGCUACUGCAUGAAGAGGGGUCUGCGUACCAUUAGCUAGUAGGUGGGUAAUGGCCUACCUAGGCGACGAUGGUUAGCGGGUCUGAGAGGAUGAUCCGCCACACUGGCACUGGAACACGGGCCAGACUCCUACGGGAGGCAGCAGUGAGGAAUAUUGCGCAAUGGGGGAAACCCUGACGCAGCGACGCCGCGUGAGUGAGGAAGGCCUUCGGGUCGUAAAGCUCUGUCAAGAGGAAAGAAGUGUACAAUGGCUAAUACCUGUUGUAUUUGACGGUACCUCUAAAGGAAGCACCGGCUAACUCCGUGCCAGCCGCGGC